Molecule: ribosomal RNA, 497 nt
Filed under: uncultured bacterium
Lineage: Bacteria
Description: partial 16S ribosomal RNA
Rfam family: Bacterial small subunit ribosomal RNA
Source: RNAcentral
GAUGAACGCUGGCGGCGUGCCUAAUACAUGCAAGUUGAGCGAACAGACGAGGAGCUUGCUCCUCUGACGUUAUCGGCGGACGGGUGAGUAACACGUGGAUAACCUACCUAUAAGACUGGGAUAACUUCGGGAAACCGGAGCUACUACCGGAUAAUAUAUUGAACCGCAUGGUUCAAUAGUGAAAGACGGUUUUGCUGUCACUUAUAGAUGGAUCCGCGCCGCAUUAGCUAGUUGGUAAGGUAACGGCUUACCAAGGCAACGAUGCGUAGCCGACCUGAGAGGGUGAUCGGCCCCACUGGCACUGCGACACGGCCCAGACCCCGACGGGAGGCAGCCGUAGCGGCUCUUCCGCAAUGGGCGACCGCCCGACGGAGCCACGCCGCGUGAAUGAUGAAGGUCUUCGGAUCGUAAACCUCUGUUAUUAGGGAAGAACAAAUGUGUAAGUAACUAUGCACGUCUUGACGGUCCCUAAUCAGAGAGCCACGGCUAACUACGUG